GGUUCAUUCAAAAUGGCAGAUGUUAAAGUUUUUUCUAAAUCCAACUGGAUUUUGUUCUCUUUUGUGACUUUCCAAGUUUUAGCCCUCUCAACGGGAAAGCCUGCACCUCAAGAUGAUCCUUGCGCCGAUAAUUCUGAGAGCGACAUGUGUCAAUGUAUGUCCACGUAUUCAAUAAUAUUUGUGAAAGUGUUCAACUUUGGAUUAGGUAGAGCGCUGGCUUAGUGAAACAUUUGUUCCGUAAUUAGAUUCUUUACUUAGUAGGUAUAGUCUACUUUUAAAAGCGCUAGUAUUAGGUGAGAUUCUUAACAAUCUCACCUACUAUAAUCCUAACAAAAUUUCAUGUCGUCCGAUCGACCUCAAACUUGGCCAAAAUGUGUUUCGCU
Molecule: long non-coding RNA, 383 nt
Organism: Phlebotomus papatasi
Lineage: Eukaryota; Metazoa; Arthropoda; Insecta; Diptera; Psychodidae
Exons: 3
Source: RefSeq, a predicted model, not a curated record